AUUUUCUUCUGUUAUUAUGAAUAUUCGUAGGGUCACUAAAUUAUAAGAAACUUUCUAUGAUGUUAAGAUAUAAUUGGCAGGAAAUUAUUAAAUUAACAUUUGUUUAUUUUUUUUUCAGCCUCUACAGCUUUACAUUCCAGUCCAAUAAUGAGAAAAAAAGUAUCUUUAAAUACGUAUACACCUGCAAAGAUCCUCCCAACACCACCAGCUACCUUAAAGAGUACUAAAGCAAGCAGCAAACCAGCUACGAGUGGACCUUCUAGUGCAGUUGUUCCUAAUACCUCAUCUCGGAAAAAGAAUAUAACUAGCAAAACAGAAACGCAUGAACACAAAAAAAACACUGGGAAAAAGAAAUGAAAUCUUAGCAGAAGCUGGAACUUUUUAUACUUAUA
Molecule: small RNA, 392 nt
Filed under: Pongo abelii (Sumatran orangutan)
Lineage: Eukaryota; Metazoa; Chordata; Mammalia; Primates; Hominidae
Description: retained intron
Source: RNAcentral